Long non-coding RNA from Mastomys coucha (southern multimammate mouse), 459 nucleotides. RefSeq lists it as uncharacterized. The record is from RefSeq and is a predicted model, not a curated record. NCBI's taxonomy places the organism in Eukaryota, Metazoa, Chordata, Mammalia, Rodentia, Muridae. The transcript is spliced from 2 exons.
GGCCAUACACAUUCUCUCCUGAGCAGCAUAGCUUGUCAGCUGUUUACAUUGUGCUGGGUGUUAGAAGGGACAGAGAAAUGAUUUAAAGCACACAGAAAGGCGUGCUCAGGAUGAUGCAGAUCGCAUGCUGUUGUGUAUAUAGGACUUCAACAUCUAAAGAUUUGAGAUCUCUGGGGCUAUUUACUUGCCACAUUGGUGAUUCUGAUGAUGCAGGCCUCUGAACUCUAGCAGACUACAGCUUCGUUUCCAUCGGCAAUCACGUCAGCUGGGUUCCUCCGCAGCCAUCGAACACAAAGAUGAACUCAGAAGCAAGCCCUUUGAUAUUCUUUGAUAAUUCCGAAGUGGAAAGAAAUUUAGAAUCUAAGAACUUUUCAACUGAAAAAAAAAAAAGUGCCAGUUAGAACUACAUAAACCCUCUUUGACCCCUUGUGACAUUUAAAUACUAUGCUUCCAACCCGA